CAAGAGCAUACUCAUGGGCUCAUGGCCUGGGAGCGAAUCGGGCAUCCUGGAUCAUGACGGAAGCUGGAAGCCGCGGGGGCUGCCCGAAGAAGAGGGCGACGAAUCGGGGGUGGAAGAGGGUGUGUCUGUGGUUAUCGCCUUCCAAGACGACGCGACUUGAUGAUUUAGAUUCGCCUUCCGAGACGAUGCGACGCGGCAAUUCAAAUUUCUCUCCUUCCUCGCCUCAACGACAUGCUCUGCUUCUCUAGCUUGUAGGGGUAUGAGGAGAGAGCUCUAUUGUUUGCAGCGGCUGCAUCAUUUCGACAAGUGAUAUGAUUGAUCUUUGCUAUGUGGACCAAUGGCAUGAUCUGUACCUAAGGUUGGAGAUGCUGAAUUCGAACACGUGAGAAAUCACUGAUGCGCAUGGCUGGCAGCUUUCGCACGAAGAAGUAAAAUUGGCAGGACCAAUUAGGAUGCAUACCUGAAGGAGUGAAUCUACUGGUUCAGCUGAAAAUUGAUCUCUAUUUGGUUUCUGAUUUUGCGUUUGGUUUUGCCGUCCGCUCGUCCUUGGUAUGCUCAUCCAUCUUGGCUGCUCUGCUUGCCUGCUUCUCCUCUCUAACUCAGGUUCUGCGAUCUCUUGUGUUGCUGCAUCGCGAUCUUCUGCUUUGUUGCAUCUCUGUUCUGUCAUCGAGAGGACGUGUCUGUACUUCUGGGGUAGAAUUCAAAUUGUGAGGGAUGGUUGUGCUCAGAUUUGGUCGCUGCUGGUCGGUUCGUGACUUCAGCGCAUGAAAACCUGCAACUGCUAUCAAGCGAACCACAGGAGGGAGCAGCAGGCAUAGAAGAAAUCGCAAGCCAAUUUUGCUCAAUUGUAGCAUCUUCCACUGACAAUAAGUCUGCACAGCAGCCCGGUGAGGCUGAUGUUCUUGCUCAGUAUAAGCCAACAAUGAAGAAACUGACCAAGCUAUCUUUCAUGAUCAGUUACACACCAAGCCUAUAUUUUUGCUGCUUCUACAUGUUGCUAUGAUGGCCAUUCAGCCCAUUUUCUUGAACCUGCACUACAACGAGAGAUCUGGGCAGCUUCUUUGUGGCUUCCAAACUUGAAA
Long non-coding RNA from Triticum aestivum (bread wheat), 1082 nucleotides. RefSeq lists it as uncharacterized. Lineage: Eukaryota; Viridiplantae; Streptophyta; Magnoliopsida; Poales; Poaceae. The transcript has 8 exons. The record is from RefSeq and is a predicted model, not a curated record.